GUGCCAGGCACUAGGCAUGCCCUCCAGGAGCUCCACAUUUGGGCACAGACGACAGCUCAGGGGGACAGAGGAACCCGGCCUAAGUCUACUGGGCCCUCCUGUCCACUCCUAUGACCCCCCCCUGCAGUCCUGCAUGCAGGGCAGAGAUGGGGGUGAUACUGGCACAGCUCCAAAGGGUUGUAUCAUCUGCUCCCGCCUCUACAAGUGUGCCAGGCUGGGUGAGGCAAUGCCAGGUGCCAGGCACUGGGUAAGGAGGCCUUCCCCAUCUCCCGAAGGGCUCUGGGGGCCACGGGGGCUGGCCCAGGAAUGUAAACCUGCGUGUGUUUGGGAAAGCUGGAGCCAGGGGUUUCCGAGGGUUGCCCACUGGAGCCUGCUGCAGGCUGGCGAACAGAUGUGCAUGCGUUAACACUCCCCAGAGGGGCCUGGCUCCCUCCCACCUCGGGCUGGGCAUCUGGAACCAGUUAGGAGCCAGGCAGCUGGGGCAUAGUUACCUUAGCUGAGGCUGAGGCUGAGCUGGGGCAGCGACCCAGGAGGGAGGGGAGGCGAUGCUGGCCUGAGAACAGCAGCUCUUUGCUAGAAGGAAAAAAGAGAAGGCCUGAAGCUGGCGAGAUGGCGCCUUGUCCAGCGCCCCUAGGGCCAGGUCGAGACCAAGUCGACUUCCCCAAGAGAGGGUCAGAGAGCCAGGAUCACAUCAGUGGCCUCAUGCAGGGCUAUUCACACACCCCAAGGUCCAAGGGCCAUACGGUGCCCUGGUUAGGGCUGGACUCUGGAGCCAAGUUACCUGGAUUUGACUCCCGGCUUGGCCUCUGCCUAGCUCGGGCACCAGGGGCAAGCUUCUUGGUUGCCCCUCUCUGAGCCUCAGUUUCCCCACUGGUAUCAAGGGUUAAGCAUGGCUCUGGGCUUCAAGUCUUCCAUGAGCCCAGCAGUGAGCUUUCUUGGGUCGGUCCCUUGGGAGCUCCAGUAGGGUGUGGACAACAGGACUUUAACCCCCUGGCUCCCUCCCAGGGAUCCUCCCCACAUAGCACCCCUCCCCUCACUCCUCCAGGCCAGGGUGGUUAUGGUCUGCACGUUUUUCUUUCUUUUUUUCUUCACUAGAGACAGGGUCUUUCUCUGUCAGCCAGGCCAGAGUGCAGUGGUGCCAUCUCUGCUCACUGCAGCCUUGAUCUCCCAGACUCAAGUGAUCCUCCCGCCUCAGCAUCCUGAGCAGUUGGGACUACAAGCAUGCGUCACCAUGCCAGGCUAAUUUUUAAGAUUUUUUUGUAGGCUGGAUGCGGUGGCUCACACCUGUAAUCCCAGCACUUUGGGAAGCCGAGGUGGGCAGAUCACGAGGUCAGAUCGAAACCAUCCUGGCUAACAUGGUGAAAUCCCAUCUCUACUAAAAAUACAAAAAAUUAGCCAGGCAUGGUGGCAGGCACCUGUAGUCCCAGCUACUGGGGAGGCUGAGGCAGAAGAAUGGCAUGAACCCAGGAGGCGGAGCUUGCAGUGAGCCGAAAUCACGCCACUGCACUCCAGCCUGGGUGACAGAGCAAGACUCCGUUUCCAAAAAAAAAAAAAAAAAA
Molecule: long non-coding RNA, 1559 nt
Organism: Macaca fascicularis (crab-eating macaque)
Lineage: Eukaryota; Metazoa; Chordata; Mammalia; Primates; Cercopithecidae
Source: Ensembl